GGGGAUGUAGCUCAGUUGGGAGAGCAUCUGCCUUGCAAGCAGGGGGUCGAGAGUUCGAAUCUCUUCAUCUCCA
RNAcentral lists this transfer RNA (73 nucleotides) under Ruminococcus sp. AF21-42. Its description in RNAcentral is "tRNA-Ala". It matches the Rfam family "tRNA". Rfam says of the family: Transfer RNA (tRNA) molecules are approximately 80 nucleotides in length. The record is from RNAcentral. Lineage: Bacteria; Bacillati; Bacillota; Clostridia; Eubacteriales; Oscillospiraceae.